CGGAGGGUGCAAGCGUUAUCCGGAUUCACUGGGUUUAAAGGGUGCGUAGGAGGGCAGGUAAGUCAGUGGUGAAAUCUCCAAGCUUAACUUGGAAACUGCCGUUGAUACUAUCUGUCUUGAAUACCGUGGAGAUGAGCGGAAUAUGUCAUGUAGCGGUGAAAUGCUUAGAUAUGACAUAGAACACCAAUUGCGAAGGCAGCUCGUUACACGAAUAUUGACUCUGAGGCACGAAAGCGUGGGGAUCAAACAGGAUUAGAUACCCUGGUAGUCCACGCCCUAAACGAUGGAUACUCGACAUACGCGAUACACAGUGUGUGUCUGAGCGAAAGCAUUAAGUAUCCCACCUGGGAAGUACGACCGCAAGGUUG
Molecule: ribosomal RNA, 368 nt
Filed under: uncultured organism
Description: bacterial SSU rRNA
Rfam family: Bacterial small subunit ribosomal RNA
Source: RNAcentral